Molecule: ribosomal RNA, 321 nt
Filed under: uncultured eukaryote
Lineage: Eukaryota
Description: partial 18S ribosomal RNA
Rfam family: Eukaryotic small subunit ribosomal RNA
Source: RNAcentral
CCCUUAGAUGUCCUGGGCCGCGCGCGCGCUACACUGACAUGUUCAACAAGCCUCCUAGUUCGACAGGAUUUGGGAAAUCUUUGAACGCAUGUCGUGAUAGGGAUAGAUCAUUGCAAUUAUUGAUCUUGAACGAGGAAUUCCUAGUAAACGCGAGUCAUCAGCUCGCAUUGAUUACGUCCCUGCCCUUUGUACACACCGCCCGUCGCACCUACCGAUUGAAUGUUUCGGUGAAGAUUCCGGAUAGGACUUUUUUGAUUUAUUUCAAUUUUGUCUUAAAAGCUAUCUAAACCUCAACAUUUAGAGGAAGGUGAAGUCGUAACA